This is a long non-coding RNA of Amphiprion ocellaris (clown anemonefish), 1427 nucleotides long. Lineage: Eukaryota; Metazoa; Chordata; Actinopteri; Pomacentridae. The record is from Ensembl.
CCGAGAUUGACCCUUCAUUUUAAUUAAGACUGAUGCAGUUAUAUUACAUUUGUGCCCAACUGCUUCAAACCACCAGCCAGAUCCCCAAACUACUGAAACCCAGAUCAGCACCGAUAGAAUAGGUGAUAAAGAACAUCGACUGGUCAGAGCAGAUACUCACUCAGACAUUCAGGUGUCAACAGUCUGCAGCUCUGGUCCUUAUACAGAUUAUCAAACACAUUGUACAGAUCUUGGUAAAAACAUUCAUGCUCUCCAUGCAGUUUCACUGCUCUAAUACAAAUCCUCUGCCUCUGGUAACAGAUUUACAUUUAGGCACUUUACAAUCAUUUGAUUUAUUUCAUGAAUGAAAGUCGGGUUAAAGAUAUAAGGACAGUGGUGAUGGUCAUGUUUUCCACAAGUUCAUAGUCAUCAAAAAUCUGUUUUUUAAACAAGAGAAAAUGCAGACAACCCUUUCAUCUCUUGACAGUUUGAUAUUUCUAUACAAAGAGAUGUUUCUCUCUUUUCCCAAACACUCUUUAAGGUCUGAAAAAUCAGCAGCAAAUCCACGAGUUCAAAACAAGUUGUUUUACAUCAGUUCAUUUUGUUUUACACAGGACUCAAAUAUCUAUCAUCAGUUAUAGAAGUUCCAAAUAAGCAUUGAAUCAUAAGGGAAGAAAAUGCAAAAGAUUCCAAAAUAAUAUUCACCAUUAAUGCAAGCUACUGAAAUGUGCAUGAAAACUCUUUUUUUAACCUAAUGAUUGAGAACAUUAGCAUUCUAGAAAAUAAAAUGAGGUAUGAUAAUUACAGUGUUCAUAGAUAAACUGAAAGUUAUUCUAUCAUCUGUCUUUAGCAAUUUUACAAAUGCACACACCAGGCUUGAAAAAUAAUAUCAGUGCAUUAUAUGCCUCUUCAACACUCAGCGGCAGAAAUACUCCACAGAGAAAGAAAGAGAUUAAGAGAUAUGGAGAAAGAGAGAAACUUCACAGUUGCUGCUAAUUGAAGCUUCUAAAUGAAUGAGUUUUGGUUGUGGCCCUCCUGCACCUCCCUCAGGCUUUAUUCUCCUUCUGGCUGUUUCUGUAACACCUCCAUCCCCCAACUCACUCCCAAUAUCAUUGUCUCUCUUUCUUUCUCUGUAGGUUCGCAUAAAGACACAAAUACAGGUCAGUCUGAUCCAAAACAAAUGAGAAAGGAAGAUACUAGUGGAGGAACCAUUCUGGAGGAACCAUUCUUUCAAACGAAACACAAAUCAAAAGAUCUCAGACUAGUGACCCCAAUGACUGAAUUCCAAGUCAGGCUUGGCUUGUGUGAAAUAGGUUUUUUGUUGUUUUUCUCUCUCAAAUCAAAGCUUCUGCAGUCCUUGAGUUCAUAUCUAGUGUACUGUACGAAGGACUUCAGACAGUUGGACUUCAGAUGGGCCAGUUCAAUUUCCCCAGAGAGCUCAUAACUCU